UGGAAGUAAAAGUCGUAACAAGGUCUCCGUUGGUGAACCAGCGGAGGGAUCAUUACCGAGUUUACAACUCCCAAACCCAAUGUGAACGUUACCAAACUGUUGCCUCGGCGGGAUCUCUGCCCCGGGUGCGUCGCAGCCCCGGACCAAGGCGCCCGCCGGAGGACCAACCAAAACUCUUUUGUAUACCCCCUCGCGGGUUUUUAUAUAUCUGAGCCAUCUCGGCGCCUCUCGUAGGCGUUUCGAAAAUGAAUCAAAACUUUCAACAACGGAUCUCUUGGUUCUGGCAUCGAUGAAGAACGCAGCGAAAUGCGAUAAGUAAUGUGAAUUGCAGAAUUCAGUGAAUCAUCGAAUCUUUGAACGCACAUUGCGCCCGCCAGUAUUCUGGCGGGCAUGCCUGUCCGAGCGUCAUUUCAACCCUCGAACCCCUCCGGGGGGUCGGCGUUGGGGAUCGGCCCUUUACGGGGCCGGCCCCGAAAUACAGUGGCGGUCUCGCCGCAGCCUCUCCUGCGCAGUAGUUUGCACACUCGCAUCGGGAGCGCGGCGCGUCCAUUGCCGUAAAACACCCAACUUUCUGAAAUGUGACCUCGGAUCAGG
Molecule: ribosomal RNA, 594 nt
Filed under: fungal sp. ARIZ L258
Lineage: Eukaryota; Fungi
Description: eukaryotic LSU rRNA
Rfam family: 5.8S ribosomal RNA (bases 255-408)
Source: RNAcentral